UACAGAGGUCUCAAGCGUUGUUCGGAUUCAUUGGGCGUAAAGGGUGCGUAGGUGGCGGGGUAAGUCAGGUGUGAAAUUUCGGAGCUUAACUCCGAAACUGCAUUUGAUACUGCCUUGCUUGAGGACUGGAGAGGAGACUGGAAUUCACGGUGUAGCAGUGAAAUGCGUAGAUAUCGUGAGGAAGACCAGUGGCGAAGGCGGGUCUCUGGACAGUUCCUGACACUGAGGCACGAAGGCCAGGGGAGCAAACGGG
RNAcentral lists this ribosomal RNA (253 nucleotides) under uncultured bacterium. RNAcentral describes it as "partial 16S ribosomal RNA". It matches the Rfam family "Bacterial small subunit ribosomal RNA", at positions 524 to 776 of the family's 1533-position model. The record is from RNAcentral.